RNAcentral lists this ribosomal RNA (468 nucleotides) under uncultured bacterium. RNAcentral describes it as "partial 16S ribosomal RNA". It matches the Rfam family "Bacterial small subunit ribosomal RNA", at positions 28 to 507 of the family's 1533-position model. The record is from RNAcentral.
GACGAACGCUGGCGGCGUGCUUAACACAUGCAAGUCGAACGGAAAGGCCCUGCUUUUGUGGGGUGCUCGAGUGGCGAACGGGUGAGUAACACGUGAGUAACCUGCCCUUGACUUUGGGAUAACUUCAGGAAACUGGGGCUAAUACCGGAUAGGAGCUCCUGCUGCCUGGUGGGGGUUGGAAAGUUUCGGCGGUUGGGGAUGGACUCGCGGCUUAUCAGCUUGUUGGUGGGGUAGUGGCUUACCAAGGCUUUGACGGGUAGCCGGCCUGAGAGGGUGACCGGCCACAUUGGGACUGAGAUACGGCCCAGACUCCUACGGGAGGAAGCAGUGGGGAAUAUUGCACAAUGGGCGGAAGAAUGAUGCAGCAACGACGCGUGCGGGAUGACGGCCUUCGGGUUGUAAACCGCUUUCGCCUGUGACGAAGAGUGAGUGACGGUAAUGGGUAAAGAAGCACCGGCUAACUACGUG